This 4672-nucleotide long non-coding RNA is filed under the name Sus scrofa (pig). RNAcentral's name for it is "lncRNA (ENSSSCG00065006384.1)". Lineage: Eukaryota; Metazoa; Chordata; Mammalia; Artiodactyla; Suidae. The record is from RNAcentral.
CUAAAACACUGUGGUGUUGCCAAAGAGUAAGCUUACACAAACCUGUUUGGUGUAGAAAAAGAGCAAGAACUAUCAUGAGAGGCUGGGGGUGGUGGACAGGUAACAAAGAGUGAAUUAGGAUUUGAGGGAGUUAAAACAAAUGAGAUAAUGGCUUGGCCCAUUUAGUCCUGCGGAGACAUUCUGCAGCCCUGUCUCAGGAUCAGUGAUGUAACAGCAGAAGACUUCAGGAGACUGCCUCAGUGUUUUCUUAAUUCAUUUAGGUUAUUAUUUGCCUGUGGUCUACUCUUUUUUUCAGGUCUAGUUUCUCCCCCACCCUCACCCCUCCUGCCUUAAGCUGUUAUAUAAGCACCUUAAAUCUCUGAUUAGAAACCUUGCUGUGUUCUGUUUCGUGUGCUUUGUUCUGAUAAGCAUGGAUUUUAUAACUCCCAGGUCUUUUGUAGAAAGGCUGGGGAGCUGGGACCUGCAGUCAGAUGAAGAUAGUUGCUAUGGGCUAUUCAGUUAGUGUGGAUCAGGAAUCCUACCAGUUAUCACCUCCAAGUGGGGAUGGGAGGAGAGGAGAUGGGGUGGGGGAGGAGAGAGAAAGAUUGAUGCAGGAGAAAGAAACCUGCCAUGUGAUUUUUCCAAAUCCCUUAACCUCUCUGGGUCUCAACUUCUUUAUCUGUAAAUAGAAAGCAUUGAUUUUAACUCCCUUGCCUCAAAUGAUCUGAGCUCUUAUUCCCCUGGUAGAGAGAAGACAGUGAUGAAGGGUCAUGCUAAUGGGAACAGAAAAUGCUGUCUUUCUUAUAUAGCUUCAUGUCUGAGAAGGGCAGUUUUUCAUUCCUGAAGUAAUAAUCAUAGCCAACUUUUAUAUGGUGCUCACAAUCGACCUGGCAUUGUUCUAAGCACUUUAUGAGCACCUCUCAUUUCAUUCUCACAGCAUCCCUAUGAGCUAGAUACAGUUAUUAUCUUCAUGCUGGAGUAAGAAAAAGAUACAGAGAAGUUAUGGAACUUGCCCAGUGUCACACAGUUAGCACAUUCUAGGGUAGGGAUUCAACAUGAGCCACCUGGCUCCAAAGUUAGUGCUGUUAGCCCAUGCCCUUAAGAGCUUAGAGGCAGAGAGCUUAGGGAGUUCUGAAAAACCCAUAAAUAUACUUUCAAAAUCCUUGAAAAAAGAACAAAUAACGGGGAGAGAGCCAGUAAUGGGAGAUUUGACUUAGACUUGAUGGAAAGACUUCCAAUCUAUUGAGCUGAGACCUGGAGGAUGAGAAGGCACCAUUUAGACGAAAGAAAAGGGAAGAGCCUGGCAGGCAGAGGGAUCCGAAUAUGCUGAGGGAAUACAGUGCGGUCAAGAUCUGGAAGGUGUCUGUAUGCCUUGAGUUCAGGGAGUGAAGGGGAAGGUGGAGAACCUUAUGACUUAGGAGAUGGGUGGGGCCAAUGCAUGAGGGCUCCGGUGUCUCUGUCUGUCUCAGGGUUUCUCUAGCUCAGGACUGUUGACUUUUGGGGCUGGAUAAAUCUUCAUUGCGGGACCUUUCCUGUGCUUUGUGGGAAGUGUAGCAGCAUUCCUGACAUAUACUCAUGAGAUACCAGUAGAACACCCACCCCCAAGGCCACCCAAAUUGUGAUAAUCAGAAAUGUCUCCAGACAUCGCUAAAUAUCCAGUGGAGGGCAGAACUGGCUCUGGUUGAGAACCCCUGAGCUAGAUAUUUCAUGCAUUGGGAUCUGUCCCUCCUCAUGGCCUAUAAGAUGGACCCUGAGUUAUGGGGUCACUUUCUACACAUGGACAUUGACUGAAUCUCUUUGGCCAGGUCGUAGCCAAGCCUGACCAGGUAGGUACAGCCUCCUGGAGACCAUCCUUGGAAAUUGUCAUGUUCAAACAGAGAUAGCAUCAUCAGAGCGGACAACGCUGAAAUUAGAGCACUGAACUAGAAAAUGAAGACUGAAGAACUGCAUCAGGUUCAGAGAAGAAACAAAGGGGGUUCUUCUUCACAAGCAGGCCCUCUAGAGUUUCAGUACAAUACGAUACUUUCCCAAUGGGCUCGGUUCUCUUUCUGCUGAAACCAAUGUAACUGCGUAGAGCUUCACAAAGCAGGCUUUUAUGAAGAAAAUUACCUUAAAUCAAAAAGAAUAGAAACAAGAUCCUUGGCAUUAAUGGUAAUAAUAACCAGAUUCCUGUGAAGGGCUAAAAUAUUGCUAUUUUAGUCACUUGUUGUGGGAAUUUGUACUUUUCAAACUCAAUAUGAAGCGCUUCUGGAACUUUCUGUCAAGUGUUUUCUGUGGCUGCCAAGUAACCCGGACAGGAGGAGAAAGGGAUGUUUUUGUCUAGCACAUUUCUUCUAUCACCAGGAAAAUGAAGUUCUAGGUGGUCUGCUUUUUCUUUGUAAUUUUUUUUAAUGGUAUGGAGAGGUUGCAAGUACUGCAGUCUGGUCUAUUGAGGCACCCCUGAAGCAUGACGUUUAUUCAGGGUUCGUCCUAAGCCCUUUGUCUUUUUGUGGUAGGAAUUCUCUGAUUUCUUUUGCCUUCAACCUGCAGAACUUUUGAAGGAUGGCACAAUUUGGCCAAACAUAAUAAUGUUAGAAAAAUUGUCCAUAAAGAAAAGUGUUCCUGAGCCUUUCUAACAUUUUCUGCUCUCUGGCCCUGAUUCUCUGAACUUCUGGUUUGCAACUGCCCCUAACCUCUUUCAGAAAUCCUGAGUCCUGGCCUGGAGCCCACCCCCUCAGAGGAGACCCAGCUCAGCACAUGCACUCUGUCUCUUAGCCUGGAGGUCAUGUGGGCCAAAUCUGGGCAAGGAACCAGAGCUGUUUCAUAACUAACUUCUACUUAUUCAUCUCUCCUGCUAAAUCAUUAUUCCUGUUUUAUAGUCAGGGCAGUAGGCAGAGCGGUCAACUCAAAAUCAGAGUUGGACUUGCUGCAAAAUCCCGAGGUGUCAACAACAAUGGCAAUAAGAGUAAUAUUUAUUGAGUAGUUACCACUAAAUCAGCUUUAUGUUAGGAGCUUUGUACACAUUAUCUCAUUUAAUUAUUACAUCGCCUCUACAAGAGUGGUACUACAAUUAUACUCCUUUUACAGAUGAAUGGACUUAAAAUGUUAAAUUAAUUGCUCAAGAUCUCACAAUUUCUAAUCAGGGCAUUCAGACCCCAAGUGUUUCUUACACUCUGUAUCCUUUACUGCCUCUUGACAUGUUUGAAGACUUUAUGAAGAAAUUUGGAGGAGGUUGUAGGUAUUUUCAGAGAACUCCACCUUUGGGACACAGUUGAGCCUUGAGAAGGGCAAAUUUCAAACAUUCCUAAAAGAGUUGAUGUUAUGCAUGGCUUUUGAACUAUACUGUGCUGAGCACAUUCUCUGACUCCUAUGUAAAAUAAAAUAUAGUGAUAUUCAAGAAAAGCUUUAUAGUAGAAAUAUUGGUUUCAUUGAUGAGGUUCACCACCAUCUUUCUGCAUACUAUUUAAUAAAGACAGUAGGGCUCUUUACCCCUUGACAUCAUGAUAAACUUAAGGUGAUUUCUCUGGCAUUCGGUUUCCUUAUUUGUAAAUGAAGGGUUCGGGCAACUUGAUCUCUAUAAUCUCUUUUGACUCGCUGCUCAGGUGUGUACACACACACACACACACACACACCCAAGAAACCUUUUUAAAGUCUUGGGAAUCCCUUACAUGAAGUGUUAGUCAUGUCCCACUGGCUCCUAUAAUGUGGAAUUCUGGGUCCAGGUGGCUAGUCACCACUUGUGGGGAUUUGCAGCUCCGGUUGUUACUGACCCGGGUCCUUGGACUUUUUAAUCAAUAGAAAUUGAUAAGAGGCCAGAUGAGAAAUUCAGGCAAGGCUUUAUGAGGACUCAAGUUACAGCACAGGGGAGUAGAAACAAGUAGCAAAUUUCCUGGCUCCCUAAGAAGAGGUGAGCUGGUUCCUUAAAUGAGGUGAGGGUGUCCCUUAUAGUUUCUUUGUAUUCUGUCACUGGAGGAGAUGAGGAGACAUUUGUCCAGGUGUAAUCAUUGCAGCCACGGGGCCUCUGUCCUGGGUCCCAGCCUGUUUCGCAGUCAUAAGCAACUGGUUUCCUGGCCCAGGAGGAUGAUGUUUGUACACAGUCCUCAAACCUCACUCUCCAGGAUUUAUAAAUAGUGAAGGGUGUAAAUCAAGCCAGCUGGUUUGCUCCAGGGAGCCCUUGCUCUCCCUAGGAGGAGCAUUUUGCUCUGCAGGCAGAAGAUGGAACUAAAUAAGCCAUCAUUUCCCAUGGACCAGAGCUGAAGAAGGUAGAGAAAGUUCUGCUGAUGGAGUUAUAUCCCCUGGCCUGAGUUUCCCUGGGACCACUUGCCAUGAGGAAGGCCCAAGGGAGGUGGCAUAUGAAACCCAGAGUGAGGAAAAGCUGGAAGGAUGAUUUUAUUCUGGUUAAUCCUGGGGGUCUCAGGGAAUGUCCUGUCCCAGAAAGGUGGCUCUUCACAAGGCCCAUCAGAACUGAUCUCACAUGCAGGUAAAGAAGGAUCUAGGGAGAGUUCCCACUGUGGUGCAGAGGAACCGAAUCUGACUAGUAUCCAUGAGGAUGCAAGUUCAAUCCCUGGACUCCCUCAGUGGGUUAAGGAUCCUGCGUUGCUGUGAGCUGUGAUGUAGGUUGUAGACAUGGCUCAGAUCCCAAGUGGCUGUGACUGUGGCUGUGGCCUAGGCCGGCAGCUGUACCUUGGAUUAGAUCCCUAGCCUGGGAACUUCC